RNAcentral lists this ribosomal RNA (520 nucleotides) under uncultured Glomus. Its description in RNAcentral is "bacterial SSU rRNA". It matches the Rfam family "Eukaryotic small subunit ribosomal RNA", at positions 569 to 1090 of the family's 1831-position model. The record is from RNAcentral. Lineage: Eukaryota; Fungi; Glomeromycota; Glomeromycetes; Glomerales; Glomeraceae.
AGCAGCCGCGGUAAUUCCAGCUCCAAUAGCGUAUAUUAAAGUUGUUGCAGUUAAAAAGCUCGUAGUUGAAUUUCGGGAUCAGUACGCUGGUCAUGCCUUUGGUAUGCACUGGUGUCACUGGUUUCUCCCUUCUGAAGAACCGUGAUGUCAUUAAUUUGGUGUCGCGGGGAAUCAGGACUGUUACUUUGAAAAAAUUGAGUGUUUAAAGCAGGCUCACGCUUGAAUACAUUAGCAUGGAAUAAUGAAAUAGGACGUUUGACCCUAUUUUGUUGGUUUCUAGGACCGCCGUAAUGAUUAAUAGGGACAGUUGGGGGCAUCAGUAUUCAAUUGUCAGAGGUGAAAUUCUUGGAUUUAUUGAAGACUAACUACUGCGAAAGCAUUUGCCAAGGAUGUUUUCAUUAAUCAGUGAACGAAAGUUAGGGGAUCGAAGACGAUCAGAUACCGUCGUAGUCUUAACCGUAAACUAUGCCGACUAGGGAUCGGGGACGGUUGUUCUAUCUUCGACCCGCUCGGCACCGUU